This is a long non-coding RNA of Apis laboriosa (Himalayan honeybee), 2444 nucleotides long. RefSeq lists it as uncharacterized. The transcript has 5 exons. The record is from RefSeq and is a predicted model, not a curated record. Lineage: Eukaryota; Metazoa; Arthropoda; Insecta; Hymenoptera; Apidae.
UCAAAGCCGCAAUGAGAGUCAUAAAGAUGAGCCAACAGAACCAUAAAAGCAACGCAGAACAAUAAAUCUAAUAUCUCGUAAAACUCUGGUUCCCUCUUUCCAUCAUCAACGAUUAGGAAUGAUUCUUGAGAGCUUCUUAAUAACGAAUGAUCCCAAAUCCAUCAAAACUCGAAACGACGAAAAUACUCUAUCCUAUCCGUGAAAAAAGGAGUCCUCGAAAAAAAUAUGUAAAAGGGUCCACCAGAAACCAGUUCAGAUUUAUCGCUUCCGGUAUAGUGAAAAAUAUGAAGCAAAUUAACAUGCCCAAGUAAUAUUGUUACGAUGAUUUAUGGGUGAAAACACGAGGAAGCUGUCCAACGUCAUUUCAAGCGGCAAAGAGAAUGCGAAUUUGCAAGAAACUAAGCCGACUGCAUACCAACGAGCCUGAAACCCAAGAAAGCCGAUCUUUCCGCAAUAUCUUUACCGCCUUAAUUCCCUGCGAAUCUCGUGAAAAAAAGGCGCGAACAUCGUCCAAAGGGAUUUAAACGGCUACUUAUUCUCGUUCAGUUUGGUUUGUGAUAAACCAGAAAGAUACAAAGAUAAAAAUGGAUGUGAUAAUAUAUAAUUUUAUGUGAUAACAUGUAAAUUUGUAAGUUUACAUGUUUUGAGAUAGGAAUAGAAUGUCUCGAGUGACAUAAGUAUUUGAACGACUUUAAAAUUUAUUCAGCUCAAAAAAACAUUUCGAUGAAAAAGAAUUAUUCCAAAAACUUAUUUUCUUCACCUUUAAUCACGCAAAUUGGAAUCAAUUGCUAAUACAAAAAAUAAUUGGAGAUAACAUACAGAACCAUUGUAUUACAAUACUUAUCACUGAAACGAGUUCAAAUCACGUUGCUCUAAGGAUGCUUUUAAUUUGAAAGCAAAUUCUCCAAGAUAAUGUAUGAACUUGGCAAUGGUAACAUUGAAAGGAUAAUGCACCAACUUUGUCUACCCCUUAAAAAACGUUGACCGAGAAGAAAGAUGUUCGAAUGAUGGACGUUCAACUCGAAUAGUUUUCCAGAUGUCAUCUCUUUCUCGAGAUUCACAACGAGUAUAAAGUUGUAAGAAUCCGUAUCCACGAAGACACGAGGCGAAUUGUCAGCUUUGCGAAAUGGAAAAAAAAAACAAAAAGAAAGAAAGAAAAAAUAAAUAUUACGACUAUUACGGACGUGGUUUACCGGUAGCCAACACGUAAAAGCUACUCUUUGUACGUGGAAUAGUUACGAGUUCUUCGGGUUCUGUUUAAUAUGCAUGGAAACGCGCCUCUUAGACCAUAUGCUUUCAUAUGUUUACCGCUUCCAAUUUCUCAUUGUUGAACUACUGACUUAAACGAUAUUCUUGUAUGGAGAAAGAGUGAAAGAACGAGUUCCAGAAGUUCCAGAGAAAAUAAUGAUGGAUUAAAUAAAAAAAAAAGAAUGAUGGAAAAAUGUUGAAAUUUGAUUUUUGAAGAGAUUCGUAAAAAUUCGAAUUUAAAGACUUGAAAUUCGAAACUCGAAUUUUUCUAAAGAUAUUUUUCAAAGCAAGAAGACUGACAAAAUCUAAAGUGGACAGGAUAGGAUCCAAGUAUAUUUAAAAAACAAAAUACUACUAAAUAAUCUUAACUCCAAAUUUUCUACAAAUUCUUAGUAAUAUAAAUCCAUUCAUAAAUAAGAUCACUUAUUUAACUACAAAUCUCAGUUUGUUUCAAGAAAAAACUGUUCAAGAUCAAUCAUUUGUUCAAUUCACAUUCAAUUGCCACUCUAGAGACAAGGAAACUGAGCAACCUAAAGAUGUCGCAUAUCCUCAAAUCACGUUAUCCAUUCAAAGCUAUUAUUCACACGCUUUAAACGACGUCUAAAGUGCAGUGACAUCUUUUUUUUGACUGUCACGCCUUUAUCGCGUUCAGUUUUGCGCGGCCACUUGUAUCGAUCUGACAGUAACGUAAAAGCCGUGACAGAAUGCCAUCACCAACCGUCUUCGCGGAAUCCUAAGAAACUUAGUUAGUCAGGAACCCUCUGCGUUGCGUAUCGGGAGUCAGCAGCCCAUGGCUGGAUGACAAAUCGUUGGUUGGCCGAGCUGACAGCUAACAUCCAUUGGCCGUUUUACAACUUGAUAAAUCGUAACACGGAGGAUCUUCUCAUAUUUUAACAUUAUAACAGAUCGUGUACGCGUUAAGAGCCUAUUUUUUAAAAUUACUUCUUUAUUUAAGGAUCUUUAUUUUUUUGAUCUUGUUCUCAAAUCAUUGGAACUGAUAGGAAAUAAUGCAACUCCAUGUUGCGCAAGUGUUAAUAUAAUAACAAAUGAAGCAUCGUUGAAGGAUUGAUUCAAUGUGAAUAUAAGAGUCGAUGUAUGUAAGUAUUCGAGGCUUAUCUACAAGCAAUUAAAGAUCGAGUGAAAUCUCUAUCGAAAAUAUUUAUAUUUUAAAUAUUAUAAUGAGUCUAUGCGUAUUU